ACGUAGGAGGCAAGCGUUAUCCGGAGUUACUGGGCGUAAAGGGCGUGCAGGCGGUUGGCUAAGUUCGUUGUGAAAGCGCCCAGGCUUAACCGGGCGAGGACAAUGAAGACUGGUCAGCUAGAGGACGGUAGAGGGGUGUGGAAUUCCGGGUGUAGUGGUGAAAUGCGUAGAUAUCCGGAGGAACACCAGUGGCGAAGGCGACUUUCUGGCCUGUUCUUGACGCUGAGGCGCGAAAGCUAGGGGAGCAAACGG
Molecule: ribosomal RNA, 252 nt
Filed under: uncultured prokaryote
Description: partial 16S ribosomal RNA
Rfam family: Bacterial small subunit ribosomal RNA
Source: RNAcentral